AGUUAACAAGCUUUAAGAAAGCAUGUACCUUGAAAGUACAAGACAAAGGUUAAAUCCCUUUAUUAACUU
RNAcentral lists this transfer RNA (69 nucleotides) under Neuroctenus parus. Its description in RNAcentral is "tRNA-Ser". It matches the Rfam family "tRNA". From Rfam's summary of the family: Transfer RNA (tRNA) molecules are approximately 80 nucleotides in length. Their secondary structure includes four short double-helical elements and three loops (D, anti-codon, and T loops). Lineage: Eukaryota; Metazoa; Arthropoda; Insecta; Hemiptera; Aradidae. The record is from RNAcentral.